This 419-nucleotide ribosomal RNA is filed under the name uncultured bacterium. Its description in RNAcentral is "bacterial SSU rRNA". It matches the Rfam family "Bacterial small subunit ribosomal RNA", at positions 355 to 786 of the family's 1533-position model. The record is from RNAcentral.
UAGGGAAUAUUGCACAAUGGGGGAAGCCCUGAUGCAGCGACGCCGCGUGAAGGAAGAAGUAUCUCGGUAUGUAAACUUCUAUCAGCAGGGAAGACAAUGACGGUACCUGACUAAGAAGCCCCGGCUAACUACGUGCCAGCAGCCGCGGUAAUACGUAGGGGCGAAGCGUUAUCCGGAUUUACUGGGUGUAAAGGGAGCGUAGACGGAUCUGCAAGUCUGGAGUGAAAGCCCGGGGCUCAACCCCGGCAGCUCGCUUUGGAAUGAACUGUGGAUCUAGAGUGCCGGAGAGGUAAGCGGAAUUCCUAGUGUAGCGGUGAAAUGCGUAGAUAUUAGGAGGAACACCAGUGGCGAAGGCGGCUUACUGGACGGUAACUGACGUUGAGGCUCGAAAGCGUGGGGAGCAAACAGGAUUAGAUACC